This 1325-nucleotide ribosomal RNA is filed under the name metagenome. Its description in RNAcentral is "bacterial LSU rRNA". It matches the Rfam family "Bacterial large subunit ribosomal RNA", at positions 1575 to 2910 of the family's 2925-position model. The record is from RNAcentral.
AUAUAAAUAAUUUGUUUAAUUUAAGUCAAACUUCCAAGAAAAGCUCUUAUUACUGUUAAAUUAAAAUAACCUGUACCCUAAACUGACACAAGUAGGUAGGUAGAGAAUACUAAGGGGCGCGAGAUAACUCUCUCUAAGGAACUCGGCAAAAUGGCCCCGUAACUUCGGGAGAAGGGGUGGUGUUAUUUUCUAAAUAACUCCCGCAGUGACCAGGCCCAGGCGACUGUUUAUCAAAAACACAGGUCUCCGCAAAGUCGUAAGACAAUGUAUGGGGGCUGACGUCUGCCCAGUGCCGGAAGGUAAAAGAAGUUGGUUAUUCUUUAGAAAAAGCUGACGACUGAAGCCCCGGUGAGCGGCGGCUGUAACCCUGACAGUCCUAAGGUAGCGAAAUUCCUUGUCGAGUAAGUUUCGACCCGCACGAAAGACGUAACGAUCUGGGCACUGUCUCGGAGAGAGACUCGGUGAAAUAGAAAUGUCUGUGAAGAUGCGGACUACUUAUACCAGGACAGAAAGACCCUAUGAAGCUUGACUGUAAUUUGGAAUUGAGUUCGGGCUUUUUUUGCGCAGUCUAGGUGGGAGGCAUUGAUGUAAAAUUUUUGGAUUUUAUGGAGCCAAAAUUGAGAGACCACCCUAAAAAGGCUAGAAUUCUAAUAGGACUCCUUGAAUCAGGAUCCUUGACAGUUUCAGAUGGACAGUUUGACUGGGGCGGUGAUCUCCUAAAAGGUAACGGAGAUGUGCAAAGGUUCUCUCAGGCUGGACGGAAAUCAGCUAUAGAGUGUAAAGGUAGAAGAGAGCUUGACUGCAAGACCAACAAGUCGAGCAGGGGCGAAAGCCGGCCUUAGUGAUCCGACGGUUCCGAGUGGAAGGGCCGUCGCUCAACGGAUAAAAGUUACUCUAGGAUAACAGGCUGAUCUCCCCCAAGAGUUCACAUCGACGGGGAGGUUUGGCACCUCGAUGUCGGCUCAUCGCAACCUGGGGCUGGAGUCGGUCCCAAGGGUUGGGCUGUUCGCCCAUGAAAGCGGUACGUGAGCUGGGUUCAGAACGUCGUGAGACAGUUCGGUCCAUAUCCGGUAUAAGCGUAAGAGCAUUGAGAGGAUCUCAACAUUGUACGAGAGGACCCGAAGGGACGUACCUAUGGUGUACCAGUUCUUAUGCCAAUAAGAAACGCUGGGUAGCUAUGUACGGAGUGGAUAAUCGCUGAAAGCAUUUAAGUGAGAAGCCCACCUCAAGAUGAGUGCUCUCUAUUAGAUCACGGCAAGACAAGCCGGUACAUUGGUAUCAAGUGUAAGAUUAGUAAUAAUUUGAGCUGAGAUAUACAAACGACC